CCUACGGGAGGCAGCAGUGGGGAAUAUUGGGCAAUGGAGGAAACUCUGACCCAGCGACGCCGCGUGCGGGAUGAAGGCCUUCGGGUUGUAAACCGCUUUCAGCAGGGAAGAAGCGAAAGUGACGGUACCUGCAGGAGAAGCACCGGCUAACUAUGUGCCAGCAGCCGCGGUAAU
Molecule: ribosomal RNA, 174 nt
Filed under: uncultured bacterium
Lineage: Bacteria
Description: partial 16S ribosomal RNA
Rfam family: Bacterial small subunit ribosomal RNA
Source: RNAcentral